GCUCGUCUUCGGAUGAGAGAUGAUGAGCCUCUGCCUUUCAGUUCUCUUGGAACAAGACGGCAAAGAGUCACUUUGACCGUCGCGCAUACCUUAAGCGGGUCUGCCGCCUUCGUUUCUCUUUCUUCAGCGAAUGACUUUGGAUUGCGCUCGCGCGCCGUACCGCAGCCCUUUGGGCUGCUGGCGCUCCGCGAGGGCGCGGCACGAGCCGCGACGGCCGGUCGGCCUUGCGAGGCUCUGCCUCGAAGCCGGCUACCAUCUGCGCUUGGGGCUAAGGGCUUGUAGCUCAGUUGGUUAGAGCGCGCGCUUGAUAAGCGUGAGGUCGGAGGUUCAAGUCCUCCCAGGCCCACCAUCUCCUUGAUACCUGCCAUCAUUUUGAUGGCGAUAUGGGGACAACAAUCAGGGGCCGUAGCUCAGCUGGGAGAGCGCCUGCUUUGCAAGCAGGAUGUCGUCGGUUCGAUCCCGUCCGGCUCCACCACUACCUUGGUGUUGAGUAGAGAUGAGGCGUCGAAAAAAGUCAUUCGUAUAAAGGUUUGUGGUGAGCUUCUGGCUUGCCGCUUGUUCUGUUUGACAUCGUAAAGAGAAGAUUUGUUCGAACUUCAUGAGCCGAAAGGGUCGUGAUUUGUCGCAAGGGACGCUCAAUCCCUUGCAUAUGAUGGGUUUGCCUAACCGCGCCCUCGAACCGAUCUCGAGAAGCUGGUCUUUUUGUGCCAAUGACAUCGGGUCAAAUCCCGCACAGGAUUUGGUUUGGCCCAGGCGACAAUCCCUUCGGGAUUGCGCGGAUGGGCAUUGGCAAUGAGAACGAUCAAGUGUCUUAAGGGCAAUUGGUGGAUGCCUUGGCAUGCACAGGCGAUGAAGGACGUGAUACGCUGCGAUAAGCUACGGGGAGGU
RNAcentral lists this unclassified non-coding RNA (888 nucleotides) under Mesorhizobium sp. S1274. RNAcentral's name for it is "partial contains 16S ribosomal RNA, 16S-23S ribosomal RNA intergenic spacer, and 23S ribosomal RNA". The stretch from base 273 to 346 matches the Rfam family "tRNA". Lineage: Bacteria; Pseudomonadati; Pseudomonadota; Alphaproteobacteria; Hyphomicrobiales; Phyllobacteriaceae. The record is from RNAcentral.